CGGGUGAGUAAUGUCUGGGAAACUGCCUGAUGGAGGGGGAUAACUACUGGAAACGGUAGCUAAUACCGCAUAACGUCGCAAGACCAAAGAGGGGGACCUUCGGGCCUCUUGCCAUCAGAUGUGCCCAGAUGGGAUUAGCUAGUAGGUGGGGUAACGGCUCACCUAGGCGACGAUCCCUAGCUGGUCUGAGAGGAUGACCAGCCACACUGGAACUGAGACACGGUCCAGACUCCUACGGGAGGCAGCAUG
Molecule: ribosomal RNA, 249 nt
Filed under: uncultured bacterium
Lineage: Bacteria
Description: partial 16S ribosomal RNA
Rfam family: Bacterial small subunit ribosomal RNA
Source: RNAcentral